GAUGAAGAACGCAGCAAAAUGCGAUAAGUAGUGUGAAUUGCAGAAUUCAGUGAAUCAUCGAAUCUUUGAACGCACAUUGCGCCCCUUGGUAUUCCUUAGGGCAUGCCUGUUCGAGCGUCAUUUAAACCUUCAAGCUCAGCUUGGUGUUGGGUGACUGUCCGCUUCACCGCGGACUCGCCUCAAAAUUAUUGGCGGCCGGUACAUUGGCUUCGAGCGCAGCAGAAACGCGAACUCGGGCCCGUCGUAUUGGCUCCCAGAAGCUAUCUUCACAAUUUUGACCUCGGAUCAGGUAGGGAUACCCGCUGAACUUAAGCAUAUCAAUAAGCGGAGGA
RNAcentral lists this unclassified non-coding RNA (332 nucleotides) under soil metagenome. Its description in RNAcentral is "partial contains 5.8S ribosomal RNA, internal transcribed spacer 2, and large subunit ribosomal RNA". The stretch from base 1 to 120 matches the Rfam family "5.8S ribosomal RNA", at positions 35 to 154 of the family's 154-position model. The record is from RNAcentral.